AGCUCUCCGAGUGGUGUGGAUGUUUAUUGGGCCUAAAGCAUCCGUAGCUGGCCAAGUUAGUCCCUUGUUAAACCCACCGAAUUAAUCGUUGGAUUGCGGGGGAUACUGCUCGGCUAGGGGACGAGAGAGGCAGACGGUAUUUUCGGGGUAGGGGUGAAAUCCUAUAAUCCCGGGAAGACCACCAGUGGCGAAGGCUGUCUGCUAGAACGCGCCCGACGGUGAGGGAUGAAAGCUGGGGGAGCGAACC
This 247-nucleotide ribosomal RNA is filed under the name uncultured crenarchaeote. Its description in RNAcentral is "partial 16S ribosomal RNA". It matches the Rfam family "Archaeal small subunit ribosomal RNA", at positions 478 to 725 of the family's 1478-position model. The record is from RNAcentral. Lineage: Archaea; Thermoproteati; Thermoproteota.